Molecule: ribosomal RNA, 460 nt
Filed under: uncultured bacterium
Lineage: Bacteria
Description: partial 16S ribosomal RNA
Rfam family: Bacterial small subunit ribosomal RNA
Source: RNAcentral
CCUACGGGUGGCAGCAGUGAGGAAUAUUGGUCAAUGGACGGGAGUCUGAACCAGCCAAGCCGCGUGAGGGAGGACGGCCCAGUGUAUUGUAAACUUCUUUUGUAUGGGAAUAAACUGUUCCACGUGUGGCCUUUUGUGUGUACCCUAUGAAUAAGCAUCGGCUAACUCCGUGCCAGCAGCCGCGGUAAUACGGAGGAUCCGAGAGUUAUCCGGAUUUAUUGGGUUUAAAGGGUGCGUAGGUGGAUUGUUAAGUCAGUUGUGAAAGGUUGCGGCUCAACCGUAAAAUUGCAGUUGAAACUGGCAGUCUGGAGUAGAGUAGAGGUGGGCGGAAUGCGUGGUGUAGCGGUGAAAUGCUUAGAUAUCACGAAGAACUCCGAUUGCGAAGGCAGCUCACCGGAUCGAAACUGACACUGAGGCUCGAAAGUGUGGGUAUCAAACAGGAUUAGAUACCCUAGUAGUC